CCUACGGGAGGCAGCAGUAGGGAAUUUUGCGCAAUGGGCGAAAGCCUGACGCAGCAACGCCGCGUGAUCGAGACGCCCUUCGGGGUGUAAAGAUCUGUCAGUGGGGACGAAACUUGACGGUACCCACAGAGGAAGCACCGGCUAACUCCGUGCCAGCAGCCGCGGUAAUACGGGGGGUGCAAGCGUUGUCCGGAAUUAUUGGGCGUAAAGAGUUCGUAGGCGGCACGUGAAGUCAGGGGUUAAAGGCAGAGGCCAAACUUCGGUACGGCACUGGAUACUUGCGAGCUAGCAUGCAGUAGAGGUAAGGGGAAUUCCUGGUGUAGCGGUGAAAUGCGUAGAUAUCAGGAGGAACAUCGGUGGCGAAGGCGGUUUACUGGGCCGUAAUUGACGCUGAGGAACGAAAGCCAGGGUAGCAAAUGGGAUUAGAUACCCCAGUAGUC
RNAcentral lists this ribosomal RNA (440 nucleotides) under uncultured bacterium. Its description in RNAcentral is "partial 16S ribosomal RNA". It matches the Rfam family "Bacterial small subunit ribosomal RNA", at positions 338 to 795 of the family's 1533-position model. The record is from RNAcentral.